CUGGUGUUGGAAGCAUUACGUUCCAACACAAAUUAAGUAAUAGGACUUUCAUGGAGAUCUGAACCAAGCUGUUAAUGCGUAUUUUACUGAAGGCGAUAGAAACAAAUUUUUCAAAAACUUCUUCUUCAGCUUCUUUACUUUGUAAGUUAAUUGGCUUCUACUGGCUUCUAACUGAAUUGAAUCUCUAAUGGAGUCGUA
Impatiens glandulifera is the source of this 198-nucleotide long non-coding RNA. RefSeq lists it as uncharacterized. Lineage: Eukaryota; Viridiplantae; Streptophyta; Magnoliopsida; Ericales; Balsaminaceae. The record is from RefSeq and is a predicted model, not a curated record. The transcript has 3 exons.